AUAAUGUUUUCAUUGGGAAAAUGCCUAUGAAUAUGUUCAUAUUUGUGUGGGGGUUUCUGCCAGUCAGAGAGGUGGCGCUGACAGCCAAUUUAAUAAUUAGAUUUUGUUUUUAUAUGAGUAAAGGGGGGAGAAAGACAAAAAGAGAAGAUGGCGGGGCACUGUUAACACUGGAUGCAUGUUAAAUCGAGUGAUUUAGAAAAAUAUAGUUUCUGAGGUUCAUAGAAGUGUUUGACAUUUGAGUUAGAACGCUUCAUGUUUUCCAAUGGGACUACCUCUUUAUGCAGUAACAAGAAUUUCGCCAAAGCCAAAUAAAAGUUCGUGAAGCUUGUUAGCAGACUAGGUGCUAGUCAUAGCCUACACCAGCCACCAUUGUGCUAGCUGGACUUGAACCAUCCUUUGCGCGAGAUGUGACGGCUGUGCAUUCGCUCUGGAGAGGGGAAGAUCUUGCGGAAAAGACAACGGAUUUCCAGUGAAUAACACGGGUAAUCCAGUUAAAGAAACCUGAUGCGUCAAUAAAUAUGCCAUCCCAUGUGGAAACUACGACACCUCCGAAAUCGUGGCAGGAUCCUCCGCCUUCUGGCUGAACGCGAGCUGAGCAGCCACUCAGCCCCAGGCGGCGCAGCCAAAUCAAUCUCUCGAUGCCACUGCUGGCAUUGUACUUUGACUUUGAUGAAAACAUUUAGGAGCACACAAAGAAAUUUAGGAGCACAGUGUUUUUUUAUUGUAUUCGUUUAUUA
This is a long non-coding RNA of Clupea harengus (Atlantic herring), 737 nucleotides long. RefSeq lists it as uncharacterized. The record is from RefSeq and is a predicted model, not a curated record. Lineage: Eukaryota; Metazoa; Chordata; Actinopteri; Clupeiformes; Clupeidae.